Molecule: ribosomal RNA, 115 nt
Filed under: Micromonospora chaiyaphumensis
Lineage: Bacteria; Bacillati; Actinomycetota; Actinomycetes; Micromonosporales; Micromonosporaceae
Description: 16S rRNA. Bacterial SSU
Rfam family: Bacterial small subunit ribosomal RNA
Source: RNAcentral
UUUUGUUGGAGAGUUUGAUCCUGGCUCAGGACGAACGCUGGCGGCGUGCUUAACACAUGCAAGUCGAGCGGAAAGGCCCUUCGGGGUACUCGAGCGGCGAACGGGUGAGUAACAC